Molecule: ribosomal RNA, 469 nt
Filed under: uncultured bacterium
Lineage: Bacteria
Description: partial 16S ribosomal RNA
Rfam family: Bacterial small subunit ribosomal RNA
Source: RNAcentral
GAUGAACGCUGGCGGCGUGCCUAAUACAUGCAAGUCGAACGAGGUGCUUUUGUAGCAAUACGAGAGUAUCCUAGUGGCGAACGGGUGAGUAACGCGUUGGUGACCUACCCCAAAGUGUGGAAUAACAGUCCGAAAGGAUUGCUAAUACCGCAUGUGGUUAUCGGGUUUAGAAACUGAUAACUAAAGGAGCAAUUCGCUUUGGGAGGGACCUGCGUCCCAUCAGCUAGUUGGUGAGGUAAUGGCUCACCAAGGCUACGACGGGUAGGGGACCUGAGAGGGUGACCCCCCACAAUGGAACUGAAACCCGGUCCAUACACCUACGGGUGGCAGCAGUAGGGAAUAUUGCACAAUGGGCGAAAGCCUGAUGCAGCAACGCCGCGUGCACGAGGAAGGCCUUCGGGUCGUAAAGUGCUUUUCUGGGAGAUGAGAAAGGACAGUAUCCCAGGAAUAAGUCUCGGCUAACUACGUG